This 253-nucleotide ribosomal RNA is filed under the name uncultured bacterium. RNAcentral describes it as "partial 16S ribosomal RNA". It matches the Rfam family "Bacterial small subunit ribosomal RNA", at positions 524 to 776 of the family's 1533-position model. The record is from RNAcentral.
UACGAAGGGGGCUAGCGUUGUUCGGAUUUACUGGGCGUAAAGCGCACGUAGGCGGAUCGUUAAGUCAGGGGUGAAAUCCCGGAGCUCAACUCCGGAACUGCCUUUGAUACUGGCGAUCUUGAGGCUGGAAGAGGUUAGUGGAAUUCCCAGUGUAGAGGUGAAAUUCGUAGAUAUUGGGAAGAACACCAGUGGCGAAGGCGGCUAACUGGUCCAGAUCUGACGCUGAGGUGCGAAAGCGUGGGGAGCAAACAGG